GUAGUCUAGUGGUUAAGACAUCUGCAUCCCACAGCAGAGUACCUGGGUUUGAAUCCCAGC
Molecule: transfer RNA, 60 nt
Filed under: Oryctolagus cuniculus (rabbit)
Lineage: Eukaryota; Metazoa; Chordata; Mammalia; Lagomorpha; Leporidae
Rfam family: tRNA
About the family: Transfer RNA (tRNA) molecules are approximately 80 nucleotides in length. Their secondary structure includes four short double-helical elements and three loops (D, anti-codon, and T loops).
Source: Rfam by way of RNAcentral